AAAUAACAUCGUUGUAUAGUUAAUUACCGCGGCAAUUAAGAUUAUUCAUAUUGCCCCUUAACUUUGCUUUCUGCAAGGCCAUCGACCAUGUCAGGGCUGCUGAAGUGACAAACAGCAGUGGGUGUCAACCACAGAGGGGAAAAAAAAGCACUGAACAUAUUGCAACACUGCCUUUGGCACAAGAGAAAGACAGAAGUGCCAAGGUUUAGCCUUUUUAUUUUCACAGAAUAAAAUCAGAAAUAAACAGGUGCAAUCUCCUAACCAGAGGCAAAUCCACUCCAGAUAAAGGCUGAUGAUCUCUCUUUACGUGUAGGGAUGUUUUAUAGACAAAACCAGCUCAGAUUAGAAUUGGGAAGCAGAUAUAAACAGUCCAAAGAGUAUUCCAGCAGAAAAAGUUGCCAAGGGAGAAGGAAGAGCAGGAAAACCUUAAAAACACAUAACAAAUGACUCUGCACAUGGAAGACCAAGGUGGAGUGAAGGUUUUCUAAGGCAGUCAUUUUACUUGAUUGGGAAGAACUUUCAGACCACCAGCCAAAGUUUAAUUUGUGACCUGGCAAUGCCCAGCCCCAGUGUACAGCCCCGAGUAGCUGCUCCCGUGGUGCUGCACCGGGCCAUCCCUUCCCUCAGCACCUGCACCUUGCAGGAGCACCAGCAUCAGCCACAUGAGAGAAAAGGCAAGAAAUAAGAAUAUUAAAACUAUCCAGCUAAACUGUGACAUUGCUCAACUCCAAAACCAUCACGCUGCAUAAGGCUAAAAAAACCCUAAUUUAAUGCCAUGUUUUGGGUGGUGUUUAAUGCAGUAAAAGUCACUCAAAUAGCUGUGCCUCCCGAAAUCAGGAGGUCGGGCACACUGUCCGCACGGGCUGGCAAUGCCAUCUGCUGGCACAGCUGCACACACGCAGGAAAGCGAACUGCUGGGGCAGGGAGCGCCGCUGAUGCUCCUGCAGAGACAAUUAUCUAAUCAAGGGGCAAUUAAAUGGUGCGUAACGAAGCCUGCACCGGGGAUGAUGCUGCGAGGAUGUCCAGGCAGCUGCCAACACAACUAUGAAGCCACAGUGAGCUGGAAACGCAGAUUAGACACUUCAAACGUGCAAAUUGUCUUUUAAAAAAGUCUUUUUUGUAUUAGGCACUUACCUGUAACACGGUGGCAAACAGUGAGCUGGAAACGCAGAUUAGACACUUCAAACGUGCAAAUUGUCUUUUAAAAAAGUCUUUUUUGUAUUAGGCACUUACCUGUAACACGGUGGCAAACCAAGAUAUUUACAUUUUAUCACAUUAAGCAGAGAAUGAAGUUCAGUGAGAUAAAGAUUUAGCAGUUGGUCUAAGAACAAAACUUGUGGGGAAAAAAAUUACUCACAGGAUCAGAGAGUAGCUUGUGCUGGAUGAGAUAUUGCAGCCAGUCUCACUCAGAGUGGAACAGCUCCCACUGGCCCAGGUGCUCCCAGCCCUGUCCAGCCUGGCCUUGGGCACUGCCAGGGAUCCAGGGAUCCCCUCUCCCAGGGAAGUUUCUUCUCAGUGUCCCACCCAAACCUGCCCUCCUUGUAGAUCGAGAGCUGGAAUAACAUCCCUUGUUUGUGUCUUUGCCUCUGCACUCACAUUGUAAUGAGUGGAUGAAAAAGAGGGGGGAAUUUUGCUUUCUGAGUACCAAUUUUAUGGUGCAUGGGUGGAUUUUGCUGAGAAUAGAAAAGUGAAUUUGUUUUCCAGAAUUUGGUAAAUGAAUCGGGCUCCCCUGCUUUUAUAAAGUUCUCUUCCACUUCCACAGGCUUCACAUUACAAGAGCUGAGCAUACUUGGAGAUCAGAGGCUACUACCUGGUGUAGAUCAAACUGAAAAAAAGUCAGGCAAAGUACAAGUGAGUCAAAGAGGACUUUCUGCCCUUUAUUACCUUCUGGACAAGCAUGGCUGAUGCCCCAUCAUCAAAACAGUUAAACUGCAACAAAACAGGAGAAAACAUGGUUCUGGUCCACAAGAUCCAAACUUCAAGAGGAAAACAAAGCUAUGGAUAGUCACAUUUUACAGGCAUAAUUAGAGCAAACACUUGGAAAAAUAAAGUCAGCAGAAAGUGAUUUGUCAACCAGUUACAGUUUUAAUAUAAAAAGUUUUAGUCCAGUCAUAAGCUUAAUUGUUCAAAUGAAAAUGAGUAGUGGAACUGAAAUCUUGAACAAGAUGAUUCUGUUUCAACAUCAAGCUUUUUGGGUGACAAGCAGAGUCAGAACACACCUGCCCACACCCACGGCUGCCAAAACCUGGGUGUGUGCUUGCUGCCAAGCACCACCAGACACUGGAUUUCCUGAGGCUUAUCUUCUGUGAUGUCACAGCAGCUGCAGCCUGGGGGGAGCUGAGCUGGUUUUGGCUAACUGUACACACAGGUGUAGCUAUGUACAACAAGGAUUCAGUGAGGACAGUGACUGAAAUGCCUUCUCACUCUUUGUGGACACUCCUGGACUCUCCCACCAGUGGAGAAUUUUGCACACAGUGUAUUAUCACAUCACAGCUGCAGACAUAGAUAUUUAGAUUUUGAUGGUGUAAGUUUAGCACCUCUCAGGAGUACUAAAUUCAAGCUAAAACGUCCUAAAAGUUGUAUAAAGAAAAUACUGAUAACCGUCACAAUUUUCCUGAAAAAAAAA
Molecule: long non-coding RNA, 2626 nt
Organism: Passer montanus (Eurasian tree sparrow)
Lineage: Eukaryota; Metazoa; Chordata; Aves; Passeriformes; Passeridae
Exons: 2
Source: RefSeq, a predicted model, not a curated record